RNAcentral lists this ribosomal RNA (253 nucleotides) under uncultured prokaryote. RNAcentral's name for it is "partial 16S ribosomal RNA". It matches the Rfam family "Bacterial small subunit ribosomal RNA", at positions 525 to 777 of the family's 1533-position model. The record is from RNAcentral.
ACGGGGGGGGCAAGCGUUGUUCGGAAUUACUGGGCGUAAAGGGUGCGUAGGCGGUGCUCUAAGUCGGAUGUGAAAACUCUGGGCUCAACCCAGAGCCUGCAUCCGAAACUGGAGUGCUAGAGAUCUGGAGGGGGUAGCGGAAUUCCUGGUGUAGCGGUGAAAUGCGUAGAUAUCGUGAGGAAGACCAGUGGCGAAGGCGGGUCUCUGGACAGUUCCUGACACUGAGGCACGAAGGCCAGGGGAGCAAACGGGA